GACGAACGCUGGCGGCGUGCCUAACACAUGCAAGUCGAGCGGAGAUAUUUAGCAAUAGAUAUCUUAGCGGCGGACGGGUGAGUAACGCGUGGGUAACCUGCCUUAUACAGGGGGAUAACACAGGGAAACUUGUGCUAAUACCGCAUAAUACAGACGAUUGGCAUCAAUUGACUGUCAAAGGAGCAAUCCGGUAUAAGAUGGACCCG
Molecule: ribosomal RNA, 206 nt
Filed under: uncultured Bacillota bacterium
Lineage: Bacteria; Bacillati; Bacillota
Description: uncultured Firmicutes bacterium partial 16S ribosomal RNA
Rfam family: Bacterial small subunit ribosomal RNA
Source: RNAcentral